This is a long non-coding RNA of Triticum dicoccoides, 1341 nucleotides long. RefSeq lists it as uncharacterized. The transcript has 5 exons. The record is from RefSeq and is a predicted model, not a curated record. NCBI's taxonomy places the organism in Eukaryota, Viridiplantae, Streptophyta, Magnoliopsida, Poales, Poaceae.
UGAACACUGUUGGGGAAUACGUACGUGGUUGUGCUGGGUGGUAGACGGCCGCCCGCCGUCGGCGAACUGAGCCGUGGAUCAGAAUCGGCGGCGCCAUCUGAUCCGUGGCUCGGGAAGUUCACUUCCUGUGUACCGGUUGCAGGAGCGAGAGUUUUCUUGCCCAGCGCGUGGAUCAUUUGGAAGCCGAGGACUACAGGAUAGAGGCCAGGAGCACCGACGGCCACGGACCAUGGUGUUUCUGAUGUAGACGGUCGGCAGAUCCACUCUGCUUGAGCUAGGGAAGACUUUGAUGCCUGCCCCCGUGGUUGUGAAUGGCCCUGCGGUGACGGAUUUUGAGGUGGCACAUCAGGCGGAGCGCGAGGCGGCGCAACACCGGAUGGCGGACAGGGGCAAAGCAUAAAUCUUCUCGGUGAAGGAGGCGGCAGCCGACAAAAGGGAGAGUUCGUCGCCGCCGCCAGAGCUGUCAACGAUGAAGAUGAAUCCCGAAGCGCCGGGAUGGAACACGAGGUUGAGUGCUCUUUGCAUUCGUAAAAUUGAUGCUAUAAGUAGCUGUUUUGCGGGCUUAGGAUUGGUACCGCCGCUCCUAGCAGAACACCGUGCCCAAAUCGUAUCAGUGCGUUUGAGAAGGCAGCCAGAUGCUCGCAGAGAACCUAGCUGAAAACGUGAUCACACUGGUUCUUGGUCCUACUUUCAACUCUUAGGGAGAGGUAUACAACUUCUACAAUCUGUACUCAUGGGAGAAGGGGUUUGGCAUCUGGUAUGGGAAGAGCCGGCUAAAUGCCGAGAGGACAAAGUGCAUCCAGGAGUGCGUGGGUGCUCGGGUGAAGCUCGUGUUGAGAACACAAAAGGUCCUGGAGGUGAUGAGUUUGAAACUUUGAAUGCGAGUGUGGUCAGUUUGCUCACAAGGGAUUGUUACGUAGCCAUGUCCUGAAGGUGCUUGAUUUCAUCAGAAUAAAAGAAAUUCCACAGAAGCACAUAGUUAAUAGGUGGACCAGAGAUGCAAGUUAUAUUCUGCCUGCUCACCUUACACAAUAUCAGAGGGACUAUAGUCACAAGAAUCCAUUCAGUUUUACGCAUUUCACUGUGUGCUUCCUUAGUGUAUGGGACCAAAAAAUGUUUGUCGGUCUAGUGUGUCCGUCAUCAUUUUCGACGUUGUAAUUCUGAACUUAUCCUGAUUCCAUGUUUGAUAAAACCCAUUAUGAUUUGUGAAUCCAUGUUCUCAGGAUUUCCUAGGAUUAUGACUAUCCAAGGAAAGAGUUUGACAUGCUAGUACUGUUUCUGAAUUUUCGUUGAAGUGUGAUGCCUGCCUUGGAUAUUUGAUGAGCGUAACUCUAGAUUUAU